GGAACCCUGAUGCAGCAACGCCGCGUGAGUGAUGACGGCCUUCGGGUUGUAAAACUCUGUCUUUGGGGACGAUAAUGACGGUACCCAAGGAGGAAGCCACGGCUAACUACGUGCCAGCAGCCGCGGUAAUACGUAGGUGGCAAGCGUUGUCCGGAUUUACUGGGCGUAAAGGGAGCGUAGGUGGAUAUUUAAGUGGGAUGUGAAAUACUCGGGCUUAACCUGGGUGCUGCAUUCCAAACUGGAUAUCUAGAGUGCAGGAGAGGAAAGGAGAAUUCCUAGUGUAGCGGUGAAAUGCGUAGAGAUUAGGGAGGAUACCAGUGGCGAAGGCGCCUUUCUGUACUGUAACUGACACUGAGGGUCUAAAGCGUGGGGAGCAAACAGGAUUAGAUACCCUGGUAGUCCACGCCGUAAACGAUGAUACUAGGUGUAGGGGUUGUGCAUGACCUCUGUGCCGCCGCUUAACGCGAUUAAGUAUUUCCGCCUGGGGAGUACGGUCGCAAGAUUAAAACUCAAAGGAAUUGACGGGGGCCCGCACAAGCAGCGGAGCAUGUGGUUUAAUUCGAAGCAACGCAAGAACCUUACCUAGACUUGACAUCCCCUGAAUUACUCUGUAAUGGAGGAAGCCACUUCGGUGGCAGGAAGACAGGUGGUGCAUGGUUGUCGUCAGCUCGUGUCG
Molecule: ribosomal RNA, 676 nt
Filed under: Clostridium butyricum
Lineage: Bacteria; Bacillati; Bacillota; Clostridia; Eubacteriales; Clostridiaceae
Description: bacterial SSU rRNA
Rfam family: Bacterial small subunit ribosomal RNA
Source: RNAcentral